This 127-nucleotide small RNA is filed under the name Marmota monax (woodchuck). Lineage: Eukaryota; Metazoa; Chordata; Mammalia; Rodentia; Sciuridae. The record is from RNAcentral.
GCUGGGUGCGUUGGUGCAUGCCUGUAAUCCCAGCAGCUUUGGAGGCUGAGGCAGGAGGAUUGCAAGUUUAAAGCCAGCCUCAGCAAUCUAGCAGGGCCCUAAGUAACUUAGCAAGACCCUGUCUCAA